RNAcentral lists this ribosomal RNA (254 nucleotides) under uncultured bacterium. Its description in RNAcentral is "partial 16S ribosomal RNA". It matches the Rfam family "Bacterial small subunit ribosomal RNA", at positions 524 to 776 of the family's 1533-position model. The record is from RNAcentral.
CACGUAGGGGGCAAGCGUUGUCCGGAUUUAUUGGGCGUAAAGAGCUCGUAGGUGGUUCGGUAAGUCGGGUGUUAAACCCCCAGGCUCAACCUGGGGACGCCACUCGAUACUGCUGUGACUAGAGUCCGGUAGGGGAGCGUGGAAUUCCUGGUGUAGCGGUGAAAUGCGUAGAGAUCGGGAGGAACACCCGUGGCGAAGGCGGCCAUCUGGACCAGCACUGACGCUGAGGCACGAAAGCGUGGGGAGCAAACAGG